AUUAAAAAAUCAAUGCUCUUGCACGUCGCAUACAAGGGGAGGAGACUGAUUUAGUUUUCCGAAAGAUGAAGUUUAACCUGCUGUCUGUCUUUUGCACAUUAUACUCCAGGGAUUGGUGACGUGAUACAAACAGGUGAGGAUUAGGAUUCUUGUCCCCCUGCCGCCGGUCGCAUCUCUCCAGAGCUUCACUGCUGUGCCAUGCAGGGCUGGGAGCCCAGUCCUCUUCCAACCCUCACACGGAAUCCACAAAACCGCUGAGUGCUGCACUUUCACACCUAUCACAAUCCUGGGGUGUCCUCUCCCAUCCCAGAGUAGGAUCCAGUCCUGAAGGAAGCAGACUGAGGCGGAAAGAUGAGCCCCGUGCUGUUUGUUUUUCACCCAGGAAUGCCAGUUGUAUAAAAGUGGUUACAUAUUCAUGGAUCUCAGAGACAAAGAGACUUCAAUAGUAUCAGCUAUCUCACAUCCCACAGUUACACAAAAUUAAAACCAGCAAGCGCCUCAAUGACUUACCGUAGGACUCCCCGCCUCAAUGACUUACCAUGGGAUUCCCCACCUCAAUGACUUACCAUGGGAUUCCCCGUCUCAAUGACUUACCAUGGGAUUCCUCACCUCAAUCUGCUUCCUUCAGCACCCAAGACUCAGGAGA
This is a long non-coding RNA of Acipenser ruthenus (sterlet), 646 nucleotides long. RefSeq lists it as uncharacterized. The record is from RefSeq and is a predicted model, not a curated record. The transcript has 7 exons. Lineage: Eukaryota; Metazoa; Chordata; Actinopteri; Acipenseriformes; Acipenseridae.